GCAGCGACGCCGCGUGAGCGAUGAAGCCCUUCGGGGUGUAAAGCUCUUUCGGCAGGGAAGAUAAUGACGGUACCUGUAGAAGAAGCUGCGGCUAACUACGUGCCAGCAGCCGCGGUAAUACGUAGGCGGCAAGCGUUGUUCGGAAUUACUGGGCGUAAAGGGUGCGUAGGCGGUUCUCUAAGUUUGGUGUGAAAUCUCCCGGCUCAACCGGGAGGGUGCGCCGAAAACUGGGGGGCUUGAGUGUGGGAGAGGAAAGUGGAAUUCCUGGUGUAGCGGUGAAAUGCGUAGAUAUCAGGAGGAACACCUGUGGUGUAAACGGCUUUCUGGACCAUUACUGACGCUGAGGCACGAAAGCGUGGGUAGCAAACAGGAUUAGAUACCCUGGUAGUCCACGCCCUAAACGAUGCAUACUUGGUGUGGGCCAUUCAUUUGGUCCGUGCCGGAGCUAACGCGUUAAAUAUGCCCCCUGGGGAGUACAGUC
This 481-nucleotide ribosomal RNA is filed under the name uncultured Acidobacteriota bacterium. RNAcentral describes it as "bacterial SSU rRNA". It matches the Rfam family "Bacterial small subunit ribosomal RNA", at positions 388 to 887 of the family's 1533-position model. The record is from RNAcentral. Lineage: Bacteria; Pseudomonadati; Acidobacteriota.